This 690-nucleotide long non-coding RNA is filed under the name Coturnix japonica (Japanese quail). Its description in RNAcentral is "lncRNA (ENSCJPG00005002789.1)". The record is from RNAcentral. Lineage: Eukaryota; Metazoa; Chordata; Aves; Galliformes; Phasianidae.
GGCAACUGAGUCUCCAGAGCUUCGGGGUGGAGGUUGCGGGGCUGCUCGACCCCCCCCCCCCCCACACACAUCAACUCAGGGUCAGGCUGGUUCGCAUGUGCCCCCCCCCCCUUUGUAGCCCCCCCCCAAUUCGGAGCUGCGCUCCGUUGUUCGGAGCCCGUUUCCCCCCCGGCCGGAGGCGGCAGCGCCGGGUGAUGCUCUGAGUCAGCUCCGGUUCAAUGAGACCCCCCGGCCAUUAUGGGGGGUGGGCAAUGGGGGGGGGGACCCUCUUUGGGGUCGCAGCUCCUAUUGGGUUGGGGGUCUCAGCCCAUAUUUGGGGUCUCAGCCCCUCUUUGGGUUUACAGCCCCUAUUUGGGGUCACAGCCCCUAUUUGGGGUCACAGCCCCUAUUUGGGGUCUCAGAGCCUCUUUGGGGUCACAGCUCCUAUUUGGGGUCACAGCCCCUAUUUGGGGUCUCAGCCCCUAUUUGGGUCUCAGGCCCUAUUGAGGAUCACAGCUUCUAUUGGGGGUCUCAGCCCCUAUUGGGGUCUCAGCCCCUCUUUGGGGUCACAGCUUCUAUUGGGGGUCUCAGCCCCUAUUUGGGGUCUCAGCUUCUCUUAGGGGUCCCAGCCUCCCUUUGGGAUCCUCAGUUGCCCCCCCCCCAUGUCACCGCAGGGCAGCAGGGCCGGGCCUGAAAUCGUGGGGGGGGGGC